UACUCUUUUAUGUUGUUUUUCCUAACUUUGGACUCUAUCUCCUAUCCUGCAUUAAAACUAACAAAAUAGCCUAAAUCAGAUAAUAAACAAUUCAAUUAAGCACUCAAAAUGGGCAAUAGAAAUGUUGUUUUCGCGCACUAUUAGUUGAAAAGUCACUUAGGUGAGUAUUUUUGUAAUCCUAACAUUUGCAUAUAUGCAACAAUAAGAGGUCGUAAGUGCUCACGAAGCAAUAUGCCUCAAGAACACACUAGGAAUUGUCCAAGAAGGGAGAUUGACCACGAAGAAUCUCGUCAAGUCCACACUAU
RNAcentral lists this long non-coding RNA (305 nucleotides) under Carica papaya (papaya). RNAcentral's name for it is "long non-coding RNA (CPAP_LNC013882)". Lineage: Eukaryota; Viridiplantae; Streptophyta; Magnoliopsida; Brassicales; Caricaceae. The record is from RNAcentral.